This 489-nucleotide long non-coding RNA is filed under the name Linum usitatissimum (flax). Its description in RNAcentral is "long non-coding RNA (LUSI_LNC002082)". The record is from RNAcentral. Lineage: Eukaryota; Viridiplantae; Streptophyta; Magnoliopsida; Malpighiales; Linaceae.
UUGAGGGACAAUAUGUUUUGAAUAUAAAUUCCAAUUCCAUUAUUAAUGAGUUUGCUUCUAGAACGUCGUGGAAUUGUUUUUUAUCUCCGACCAUCGUUUCCGCCGUGGGACAAUAACCGCCAGGCUUGCCUGUCAUUCUCGGUGCUUCCGUCAGUCGUUGCGGUCUCUGUCAGUCCGCCGGUGCCAGCUUUCUUACGGAAAUGAAUAAUACCGGUCGAAGAAUGCGGAAAAUUUUGCAUAGUAGUGUGCGGAAAAUUCUCCAAUUCAAAUUUUCUCAGCCUAUUGUUUCCUUCACAAGCAGACAAAUGGCGGGGAAAUUUAAAUAAGUAGAGCCCCACAGGCACAGUCUCCCACUCUUAUCGACAAAAUGGCCGAGAAAAUCCAGGCGGAAGAGAAGCACGGCGGUCCAGUGAUCGUCGCCGUCAAUCCUAAUCCUCAAAAGGGACUCGCCUCCACUCUUAUCGACUUCCUGGAGAAGUUAACCGUCAA